RNAcentral lists this ribosomal RNA (254 nucleotides) under uncultured bacterium. RNAcentral describes it as "partial 16S ribosomal RNA". It matches the Rfam family "Bacterial small subunit ribosomal RNA", at positions 524 to 776 of the family's 1533-position model. The record is from RNAcentral.
UACGUAGGGGGCGAGCGUUGUCCGGAUUUAUUGGGCGUAAAGAGCGUGUAGGCGGCCAGGUAGGUCUGCUGUGAAAACUCGAGGCUCAACCUCGAGACGUCGGCGGAAACCAUCUGGCUAGAGUCCGGAAGAGGAGAGUGGAAUUCCUGGUGUAGCGGUGAAAUGCGCAGAUAUCGAGAGGAACACCUGAGGUGAAGACGGGUUGCUGGGCCGACACUGACGCUGACAGCGCGAAAGCCAGGGGAGCAAACAGG